Molecule: long non-coding RNA, 338 nt
Filed under: Lupinus mutabilis
Lineage: Eukaryota; Viridiplantae; Streptophyta; Magnoliopsida; Fabales; Fabaceae
Description: partial ncRNA
Source: RNAcentral
CAUUUUCAACGCAUCAUUUGUCUGCUUCGUUUUCUCCAUUACUUCCUCCUUCGGUUGUACAAAAAAAUAACGAUGCAUCACCACAAUUGCAACGAACAUCGAUCGUAAAAACACCACAACAAGCACCACAACUAGCACCACAACUAACACCACAACUAACACCACAACAAACUCCACAACAAACACCCCAACAAACUUCACAACAAGCACCGCAACAGACACCCCAGCAAACACCACAACAAACACCUCAACAAGCACCACAACAAACUCCACAACAAACACCACAACAAACAACUCAACAAGCACCACAACUAUCACCACAACAAACUCCACAACAA